GAUGAACGCUGGCGGCGUGCCUAAUACAUGCAAGUCGAGCGAACAGACGAGGAGCUUGCUCCUCUGACGUUAGCGGCGGACGGGUGAGUAACACGUGGAUAACCUACCUAUAAGACUGGGAUAACUUCGGGAAACCGGAGCUAAUACCGGAUAAUAUAUUGAACCGCAUGGUUCAAUAGUGAAAGACGGUUUUGCUGUCACUUAUAGAUGGAUCCGCGCCGCAUUAGCUAGUUGGUAAGGUAACGGCUUACCAAGGCAACGAUGCGUAGCCGACCUGAGAGGGUGUUCCGCCACGCCGGAUCUGACACGCGACCCAGGCCCCGACGGGAGGCCCAGAUAGGGACUCUUGCCAAAAGGGGGGAAGCCUGCAGGAGCGGCGGCGGCGGGGUGAAGAAGGUCUGCGGGCUGGAAAACUCUUUUCUGGGGGAAAAACAAAUGUGUAAGUAACUAUGCGCGUGUGACGGUUACCGACACAGAAACCCCGGCCAACUCCCUU
Molecule: ribosomal RNA, 496 nt
Filed under: uncultured bacterium
Lineage: Bacteria
Description: partial 16S ribosomal RNA
Rfam family: Bacterial small subunit ribosomal RNA
Source: RNAcentral